CCUUCUUUCCCAUGGCACGGUUCCCUUUUCCAAAACCGCCCCACGUUGCUUGCGCAGGUCAUGGAACAAACAGAGAGAGCGAAGAGAAGCGCGGCGGCCAUGCCUGCUGUGGUUGGAUCUAGACAAGGGGUUUGCCACCGGCCCCGUUCGUUGUGCUGGCCAUAGAAGAGAGACAGAGAUUGAAGGGAAGCACGGCGGCGAUGCCGUUCAUUGCGAAGGACAUGGCGUCGCCGGUGCGGCGACCUGGCUGCGGCCGCCGUCGCCGACCCACUCCACGCGCGGCCUGCCCUUCCCCGACGCCCACCGCGUACCGCCGCCCCACUCUUCCGCGCCUCCAAUGUCGCCUCCCUUCACACCGAUGCUGGGGAUGCGCUGCACCGGCAGCUCCCCUCCAUCCUUGCCGCUACUAAUCCAUCUAAUGUCGCCUCUCUGCAUCCUGUAGAGGGGUCGAACUAGACACCGCAGUCCGCAGACACGACGGACUGGACACAAUUGACGAGUUCUUUUGUGCUGCUCUCUGAUUGUCGCUUGUCCAUGUUGCCAGACGAGCAGAGGCGUGGUAGCGGCCAAGGCGAGAACUAUGGGAAGCUGAAGUCGCCUGCGUGUUUGUGUUCAUCACAGAAGGAAGAAGCAUGGUGUCCGCCGCCGGGGACAUGGACGCAUGCGGGGGAGCAGCCGCAGAUUCAGGACCUUCUAUCGAUCUGUUGUGCCUUGAAGUUUGCGUUUAUCUUUGAGAAAUUCUGCCCCAUCCUCAGUCAUAUGUAUGCUUUGAUCUAUUUUUCAUGUUGUUUUCUUGGGUCUUUGUUCUUGGUUAUUGGGCUUGGAGUGCUCUCUACAGCCCUUCACAACUCCCAAAAACCCACAUGUAUUUGAUGUAAGACGCUUUAACCUAUUCUCUAAUGUACAUGCAGUCUGAAAUCCAUUGCCAAUUUGGCUUUAGGAAAAUUCAGUCGCACAAGAAGCAAGGCUAAGUUGUACUCCUAAUUGGUAUUGUUCUUAAGCACACCCCAAAAUGAUGUGUAUCAAUUGCAUAUUUUUCUGAAGCUACUAAACCAUUACUGGAUUUUUGCAGUUUUUUAUUUCAAAAUAUGUCUCUCCUUCGAAGUCAUUUUUUCCUUCUACUGAAUGUUCUUCUGAAAGAGAAUCUCAACAGAGCAAUCGGAAGGAGGAGAAAGCAGCCAGAGAGGAGAAGCUUAGAACAAGGUACAUGCAUCAGAUUAACUCCUAUACCUGAACCAAUAUACCUUUUUAUGAUUGAAUUAAAUAAAACAAGUAUUUAUAUAUUUCUUCAGAUCAACGGAUUCUAAUAAUAUUCCGGCAUGCAAAUAAUUUUUCCAUAUGUUUGACUACAUUGUGUUGCUGUGCAAAUAUGCAGAGAAGGAUCUCAUUUUUGGGGGCAUGGUUACGUGAAUCGACGUGUUAUCUUGACCAAAUAUCUUCUUACUAUUUGUACAGUGCUGCAAAAUGUAUAGGCUGGUCACCACUUUUACUCAGUUUCAUUAUAUAUAUAUCGCAUCACAGCAGCAGCCGCUGACCAUCCCCGAGGAAACCACCACGUCGCUCCCUACCGAAUCGUGAUCAUCCUGGGUAUCCCGUUUGCUACCAUGGGCGCUCAGAUAGAGCUCAUGGUACUCUCUUGAUGCACAUAAAACGAUCUUCUCAAUUUGUGUUUUGAGGAAUCAAUGGCCUGAAUCAUCAUAGUGCAGAUGCCAAUAACUUGCAGAGACACCAAGGUUAAUGCAAUUGUCGAGACAUUGGUGUAUUGUGAUGUAUUGUAUAAUAUGGUUCCAGCAUAUGACCAAGUGAGAGGGAUUGACAAUACAUUAUAUUUUCAUGCAAUCGCUACAAGAACAUUAUAUCAGAUCUUCUCAAUCACGUACAGUCCUACCCAACAUUUUAUGUUGCUGCAUGUUGACUACACCAGUCUGAGGCAAGCUGCAGGAGUAUGGUACCUUUCUCUUCCAACGUCGCCAGACAAGUGACGUAGGAGGUCGUCAAGCAGCUACAGUUCUUCGCCGAUGAGGUAGUGGACGGCGUUUCUCCUGUUUGGGCCACCAGGUAUGGGUGUCCUACUUGGUGAAAGUCAUCACGGCAGAGGCUGAUUUCAUCUUCCGAAUGUGAGUGUUGCUUAAAUUUGAGCCCCACAAUUCACUCUCCUGCAAUUUAAGCCUUAUUAUUGUUCCAACAGAAACAGAGCACAUGGAUAAUUUCCUCAAGAAAAUGUUGAAUUGUGAUCCUAAAUCGAUUCUUUAUUUAUGAUUAAUUGCAUGUUCAUAUUCUGGUUCUUGUUGCAUAUUGUGAUGCCAAAACUCUUUGAUUGGGAUAGCAACAGUAGCAAGGUGAAUGUACGAGUAUAUUGUUGUUAGUUUGAUUGUGUGUGGUAGGAUGGCUGGGUAUUUGGAAAGCAAAACUCUUUCCACUUUUGCAGCUAGGCUGGUGUGGAUCAUAUUGUUCCUGUCACAUUGAUUUUGUCGGCAAAAUUGAGGAACCUGGAGAAGAUGCCCUUAGAUAUCAUCGAAUACUACCGAAAAUAGCAAUUUUGCAUGAUGUGGAGACAUAACUAUCGCCUUCUUGAUGUUUUAUGCCUUUUUCAUGUAGCCGAAGUGACGACGAAUGAGUGAAGGGUUGCAGUGCAAACUCCUCGGUGCUUUUUACAUAUGUCAUUGUACUUACGAUUUCCUGAAUAUUUUAUAAAAUAGUGAAGGAUAUCUUGGAACGAUGAUGUU
This is a non-coding RNA of Triticum urartu, 2726 nucleotides long. NCBI's taxonomy places the organism in Eukaryota, Viridiplantae, Streptophyta, Magnoliopsida, Poales, Poaceae. The record is from RefSeq and is a predicted model, not a curated record.